This 851-nucleotide ribosomal RNA is filed under the name Hypotrachyna imbricatula. Its description in RNAcentral is "eukaryotic LSU rRNA". It matches the Rfam family "Eukaryotic large subunit ribosomal RNA", at positions 71 to 935 of the family's 3401-position model. The record is from RNAcentral. Lineage: Eukaryota; Fungi; Ascomycota; Lecanoromycetes; Lecanorales; Parmeliaceae.
GGGAUUGCCUCAGUAACGGCGAGUGAAGCGGCAACAGCUCAAAUUUGAAAUCUGGCCCCUCCGGGGUCCGAGUUGUAAUUUGUAGAGAGUGUUUCGGGUGAGACCACGGUCUAAGUCUGUUGGAACAUUACGUCAUAGAGGGUGAGAACCCCGUAUGCGACCGUGGCUCGAGCCCAUGUGAAGCCUCUUCGACGAGUCGAGUUGUUUGGGAAUGCAGCUCAAAAUGGGUGGUAAAUUUCAUCUAAAGCUAAAUACUGGCUGGAGACCGAUAGCGCACAAGUAGAGUGAUCGAAAGAUGAAAAGCACUUUGGAAAGAGAGUCAAACAGUACGUGAAAUUGUUGAAAGGGAAGCGCUGGCAACCAGACCUGUCCGUAGGCGAUCAGCCGCUGUUCUCAGCGGUGCACUCGUUCUGCGAUCAGGCCAGCAUCGGUUUCGGCGGUCGGAUAAAGGCCCGGGGAACGUAGCUCUCUUUCGGGGGAGUGUUAUAGCCCCGGGCGCAAUGCGGCCAGCCGGGACCGAGGACCGCGCAUUUAUGCUAGGAUGCUGGCGUAAUGGUUGUCAGCGACCCGUCUUGAAACACGGACCAAGGAGUCUAACAUCUAUGCGAGUGUUUGGGUGUCAAACCCAUGCGCGGAAUGAAAGUGAACGGAGGUGAGAACCCUUUAGGGCGCAUCAUCGACCGAUCCAGAAGUUUACGGAUGGAUUUGAGUAUGAGCAUAGCUGUUGGGACCCGAAAGAUGGUGAACUAUGCCUGAAUAGGGUGAAGCCAGAGGAAACUCUGGUGGAGGCUCGCAGCGGUUCUGACGUGCAAAUCGAUCGUCAAAUUUGGGUAUAGGGGCGAAAGACUAAU